GCCGGGGUGGCGGAAUGGCAGACGCGCCGGAUUCAAAAUCCGGUAUCCUCACGGGUGUGUGGGUUCGACUCCCACCCUCGGCA
This 83-nucleotide transfer RNA is filed under the name Planctomycetota bacterium. RNAcentral describes it as "tRNA-Leu". It matches the Rfam family "tRNA". Rfam says of the family: Transfer RNA (tRNA) molecules are approximately 80 nucleotides in length. Their secondary structure includes four short double-helical elements and three loops (D, anti-codon, and T loops). Lineage: Bacteria; Pseudomonadati; Planctomycetota. The record is from RNAcentral.